This 84-nucleotide transfer RNA is filed under the name Bacteroidaceae bacterium. RNAcentral's name for it is "tRNA-Leu". It matches the Rfam family "tRNA". Rfam says of the family: Transfer RNA (tRNA) molecules are approximately 80 nucleotides in length. Their secondary structure includes four short double-helical elements and three loops (D, anti-codon, and T loops). The record is from RNAcentral. Lineage: Bacteria; Pseudomonadati; Bacteroidota; Bacteroidia; Bacteroidales; Bacteroidaceae.
GUCCGGGUGGUGGAAUUGGUAGACACGCUACUUUGAGGGGGUAGUGGGCGUAGGCCUGUGUGAGUUCGAAUCUCAUCUCGGACA